UGAGUAAUAUAUCGGAACGUACCCAAGAGUGGGGGAUAACGUAGCGAAAGUUACGCUAAUACCGCAUACGAUCUACGGAUGAAAGCAGGGGACCGCAAGGCCUUGUGCUCCUGGAGCGGCCGAUAUCUGAUUAGCUAGUUGGUAGGGUAAAGGCCUACCAAGGCAUCGAUCAGUAGCUGGUCUGAGAGGACGACCAGCCACACUGGAACUGAGACACGGUCCAGACUCCUACGGGAGGCAGCAGUGGGGAAUUUUGGACAAUGGGCGCAAGCCUGAUCCAGCCAUGCCGCGUGUGUGAAGAAGGUCUUCGGAUUGUAAAGCACUUUAAGUUGGGAGGAAGGGCAUUAACCUAAUACGUUAGUGUUUUGACGUUACCGACAGAAUAAGCCCCGG
Molecule: ribosomal RNA, 393 nt
Filed under: uncultured beta proteobacterium
Lineage: Bacteria; Pseudomonadati; Pseudomonadota; Betaproteobacteria
Description: bacterial SSU rRNA
Rfam family: Bacterial small subunit ribosomal RNA
Source: RNAcentral